This is a long non-coding RNA of Triticum aestivum (bread wheat), 358 nucleotides long. RefSeq lists it as uncharacterized. The record is from RefSeq and is a predicted model, not a curated record. NCBI's taxonomy places the organism in Eukaryota, Viridiplantae, Streptophyta, Magnoliopsida, Poales, Poaceae. The transcript has 3 exons.
ACGGCGAUCUACUUCAGGAUCGCUUCAGGAGACGGCGCCGCGAUCCCGUUAAGGAGACGCCGGCGCCCAGGAUCCGAUGGCGAUCCCCUUCUGGACACGCACAUCCUCUCGGCCGGCGCUGAUCCCCGUUCAGGAGGUUCUCGAAGUCCGCCCUCUCAUUGACAGGGUGAAAGUUGUGGAAUUUUUGCUUUAACUGCCUGGAGUAAGAUGACAGGACAUACAAAGAUGCAUUCAAGUAGUUACUGAAAGCAAUCUGAGGACAAAGCUUUGAUUGUUGUUGUAGUUGAAGAUUCAGAGUUGCAAGGCAGGCACAGUUAACAGGGAUAAGAAACUAUAGAAGAUUUAUCAAACCAGAUAU